Molecule: long non-coding RNA, 393 nt
Organism: Daphnia magna
Lineage: Eukaryota; Metazoa; Arthropoda; Branchiopoda; Diplostraca; Daphniidae
Exons: 4
Source: RefSeq, a predicted model, not a curated record
UCAGAUCUUGAAAAAAGGUUGGGAAGCAUGGCCGGUCGAAGGCAACGACGUGACUGCAAUGCGUCUGUAACUAUCACUCUCUCCAGCAGCCUUUCUCAGCCUUGAUCGGUUUUCUCAAUUUUGAUCCAGAGCCCGAUUGCAACAUGAGAGCCAAGUGGCGCAAGAAGCGGAUGCGUAGGCUGAAGCGAAAGCGUAGGAAGAUGCGCGCCCGUUCAAAGUAGAAUCUCUGUACUGCUGUGAAGGCGCGGAAGCAAUCGACAUUCGAUUCGUUGAGGUAGUUUUGAAUUAACUGAGAUACUUUUACCACACGAUCGGCUAUCAAACAUAACCUUUAUGAAAUCCUGUGAUUGUUGUAAUCAUGUUGAUGUGUUGCAAUAGAUUUCUUCAUCUUAA